AACAAUCUGCCCUUACGUUCCGGAUAAUUGGUCGAAAGACCUUGUAAUACGGGGGAGGGAUCGGCCUUUGGCAUCUUAGACCGAGGGAAGUUGCAAGUUUACUUGUGACGCGCAAGGAGGAGUUCGCGGAUUAUCAGCUAGUUGGUGAGGUAACGGCUCACCAAGGCUACGACGAUUAGCUGGUCUGAGAGGAUGGUCAGCCACAUUGGAACUGAGAUACUGUCCAG
RNAcentral lists this ribosomal RNA (227 nucleotides) under uncultured bacterium. RNAcentral's name for it is "partial 16S ribosomal RNA". It matches the Rfam family "Bacterial small subunit ribosomal RNA", at positions 120 to 334 of the family's 1533-position model. The record is from RNAcentral.